GAAUUCGCCCUUAGAGUUUGAUCCUGGCUCAGGACGAACGCUGGCGGCGCGCCUAACACAUGCAAGUCGAACGAGAGAGAGGGAGCUUACUUCCUUGAUCGAGUGGCGAACGGGCGAGUAACGCGUGAGGAACCUGCCUCAAAGAGGGGGACAACAGUUGGAAACGACUGCUAAUACCGCAUAAGCCCACGACCCGGCAUCGGGAAGAGGGAAAAGGAGCAAUCCGCUUUGAGAUGGCCUCGCGUCCGAUUAGCUAGUUGGUGAGGUAACGGCCCACCAAGGCGACGAUCGGUAGCCGGACUGAGAGGUUGAACGGCCACAUUGGGACUGAGACACGGCCCAGACUCCUACGGGAGGCAGCAGUGGGGAAUAUUGCACAAUGGGGGAAACCCUGAUGCAGCGACGCCGCGUGGAGGAAGAAGGUCUUCGGAUUGUAAACUCCUGUUGUUGAGGAAGAUAAUGACGGUACUCAACAAGGAAGUGACGGCUAACUACGUGCCAGCAGCCGCGGUAAAACGUAGGUCACAAGCGUUGUCCGGAAUUACUGGGUGUAAAGGGAGCGCAGGCGGGCGAUCAAGUUGGAAGUGAAAUCCAUGGGCUCAACCCAUGAACUGCUUUCAAAACUGGUCGUCUUGAGUAGUGCAGAGGUAGGCGGAAUUCCCGGUGUAGCGGUGGAAUGCGUAGAUAUCGGGAGGAACACCAGUGGCGAAGGCGGCCUACUGGGCACCAACUGACGCUGAGGCUCGAAAGCAUGGGUAGCAAACAGGAUUAGAUACCCUGGUAGUCCAUGCCGUAAACGAUGAUUACUAGGUGUUGGAGGAUUGCCCCCUUCAGUGCCGCAGUUAACACAAUAAGUAAUCCACCUGGGGAGUACGACCGCAAGGUUGAAACUCAAAGGAAUUGACGGGGGCCCGCACAAGCAGUGGAGUAUGUGGUUUAAUUCGAAGCAACGCGAAGAACCUUACCAGGUCUUGACAUCCGAUGCAUAGCUUAGAGAUAAGUGAAGUCCUUCGGGACAUCGAGACAGGUGGUGCAUGGUUGUCGUCAGCUCGUGUCGUGAGAUGUUGGGUUAAGUCCCGCAACGAGCGCAACCCUUAUCUUCAGUAGCCAGCAGGUAAGGCUGGGCACUCUGGAGAGACUGCCAGGGAUAACCUGGAGGAAGGUGGGGACGACGUCAAAUCAUCAUGCCCCUUAUGAUCUGGGCGACACACGUGCUACAAUGGCGGUCACAGAGUGAGGCAAACCUGCGAGGGGGAGCAAACCACAAAAAGGCCGUCCCAGUUCGGACUGUAGUCUGCAACCCGACUACACGAAGCUGGAAUCGCUAGUAAUCGCGGAUCAGAAUGCCGCGGUGAAUACGUUCCCGGGUCUUGUACUAAGCGCCCGUCA
RNAcentral lists this ribosomal RNA (1389 nucleotides) under uncultured bacterium. RNAcentral's name for it is "bacterial SSU rRNA". It matches the Rfam family "Bacterial small subunit ribosomal RNA". The record is from RNAcentral.